This 366-nucleotide ribosomal RNA is filed under the name uncultured bacterium. Its description in RNAcentral is "bacterial SSU rRNA". It matches the Rfam family "Bacterial small subunit ribosomal RNA", at positions 29 to 408 of the family's 1533-position model. The record is from RNAcentral.
AAUGAACGUUGGCGGCGUGGAUUAGGCAUGCAAGUCGCGCGACAAGGAACCUUCGGGUUCUGGAGGAGCGGGCAAACGGGGUAGUAAGGCAUCGGAACGUACCCUCUUGUUGGGAAUAGCCGCGGGAAACUGCGAGUAAUGCCCAAUAAUCCCUACGGGGCAAAGGUCCGCCGCAGGAGGAGCGGCCGAUGUGAUACCAGCUAGUUGGUGAGGUAAUGGCUCACCAAGGCUUAGACGUCUAGGGGGUNUGAGAGCACGGGCCCCCACCACUGGGACUGAGAUACUGCCCAGACACCUACGGGUGGCUGCAGUCGAGAAUCUUCGGCAAUGGGCGCAAGCCUGGACCGAGCAACGCCGCGUUGCGGG